This 697-nucleotide ribosomal RNA is filed under the name uncultured bacterium. RNAcentral's name for it is "bacterial SSU rRNA". It matches the Rfam family "Bacterial small subunit ribosomal RNA", at positions 62 to 753 of the family's 1533-position model. The record is from RNAcentral.
UCGACGGCAGCACGGGUGCUUGCACCUGGUGGCGAGUGGCGAACGGGUGAGUAAUGCGUCGGAACGUACCGAGUAAUGGGGGAUAACGCAGCGAAAGUUGUGCUAAUACCGCAUACGCCCUGAGGGGGAAAGUGGGGGACCGCAAGGCCUCACGUUAUUCGAGCGGCCGACGUCUGAUUAGCUAGUUGGUGGGGUAAAGGCCUACCAAGGCGACGAUCAGUAGCGGGUCUGAGAGGAUGAUCCGCCACACUGGGACUGAGACACGGCCCAGACUCCUACGGGAGGCAGCAGUGGGGAAUUUUGGACAAUGGGGGCAACCCUGAUCCAGCCAUUCCGCGUGAGUGAAGAAGGCCUUCGGGUUGUAAAGCUCUUUCAGCUGGAACGAAACGGUACGCGCUAACAUCGUGUGCUAAUGACGGUACCGGCAGAAGAAGCACCGGCUAACUACGUGCCAGCAGCCGCGGUAAUACGUAGGGUGCGAGCGUUAAUCGGAAUUACUGGGCGUAAAGCGUGCGCAGGCGGAUUGUUAAGCAAGACGUGAAAUCCCCGGGCUUAACCUGGGAAUGGCGUUUUGAACUGGCAGUCUAGAGUGCGUCAGAGGGGGGUGGAAUUCCACGUGUAGCAGUGAAAUGCGUAGAGAUGUGGAGGAACACCGAUGGUGAAGGCAGCCCCCUGGGAUGACACUGACGCUCAUGUA